RNAcentral lists this long non-coding RNA (9488 nucleotides) under Coffea arabica (coffee). Its description in RNAcentral is "long non-coding RNA (CARA_LNC006241)". Lineage: Eukaryota; Viridiplantae; Streptophyta; Magnoliopsida; Gentianales; Rubiaceae. The record is from RNAcentral.
UCAAAGAAUUCAAUACAAAGAAAAAUGGUGACUUCCCGCAGUUCAUUGUUUUCUCUUCUCUCAUUCCUCAUACUUGCAUUAGCCAUCCUACAGGCUGACGCAUCAAGAAUUCAUGAUGAUUAUCUAAAAUGCCUACAAUCUCAAAACUCAGACUCCAUAUCUACCAUUGCUUACACCCCAAGAAACACAUCAUAUGCAUCCAUAUUGCAAUCCACAGAGCAAAACUUACGUCCCGCAUCAACCUCUCUAUUCAAGCCAACUCUCAUCCUUACACCACUUCAUUCAUCUGAGAUCCAGGCGGCAAUACGCUGUGCCAAGAAACAUGAAAUUCAAAUCAGAGUCCGGAGUGGUGGACAUGAUUAUGAGGGUCUUUCCUAUGCUUCAACAAGCCCUUUUGUCAUUGUUGAUCUUAGAAACAUUAGCUCGAUAUCAGUUGACAGGGAAAAUCGUACGGCAUGGGUUGAAGCAGGGGCAACUCUUGGCCAACUUUAUUACAAAAUCGGUGAGACAAGUAGGGAACUCGCAUUCGUUGCUGGUGCCUGUCCCACAGUAGGCGUUGGAGGACAUUUCAGUGGAGGAGGCUAUAGCAUGUUGUCACGUAAAUUUGGGUUGUCAGUUGAUCAUAUUAUUGAUGCCAAAAUUAUUGACGUGAACGGUCAAAUUUUGGAUCGAAGGUCUAUGGGUGAGGAUCUAUUUUGGGCAAUCAGAGGAGGUGGUGGAGCAAGUUUUGGGAUCAUCAUUGCAUGGAAAGUAAGUCUUGUUUCUGUUCCUGAAAAGGUAACAGUUUUCAAUCUAACCAAGACAUCGGAUCAAAAUGCCACUCAGCUAGUAUAUCAGUGGCAGCACAUUGCAGACAAGAUUGAUGAAAAUUUACUAAUUAGGCUCUUCAUAACGAGUUCCACUUCUCCCCAAACUGGAAAGAAAUCCAUAGUAGUUUCAUUUACCUCUUUGUUCGUCGGUGGAAUUGAUCAGCUCCUUUCCUUGAUGCAAAAAAGCUUCCCAGAGCUGGGAUUGGCAAAAGAAGAUUGCAUUGAAAUGAGCUGGCUCGAGUCCAUAGUCUACUUUGCCAACAUUCCAGGAGCUGCAUCAGUUGAGGUCCUUCUGGAUAGGAAUUCGUCCAAGUCAUAUUUCAAAGGAAAGUCAGACUAUGUAAAGAAACCAAUUUCAGUAAAAGGUCUUGAAGGAUUAUGGAAAAGGCUUUUUGCAGAAGAAGAAGAAGACAUGGAGGCACAUUUCCAGCUACAGUUUAGUCCUUAUGGAGGAAUGAUGAGUGAAAUCUCAGAAUCUGCAACACCUUUCCCUCAUAGGAGAGGGAACAUUUUCAUGAUUCAUUAUGCAGCGGCAUGGGACAAAAAAAGCAAUGCAGAAUCCAAGAGACAUGUGAAUUGGACAAGAAGAAUUUACAGCUACAUGGCUGCCUACGUAUCGAAGUCUCCAAGAGCUGCAUAUUUGAAUUAUAGGGAUCUUGACUUGGGAGUUAAUAAAAUCAAAGGCAAUACAAGCUAUAAACAAGCUAGCAUUUGGGGGACUAAAUAUUUCAACCAAAAUUUUGACAGAUUGGUGCAUGUGAAGACUAAAGUGGAUCCAAGUAAUUUCUUCAGAAAUGAGCAAAGCAUUCCACCGUUGUCAUAAUGGUGGUAGGUAGAUUGAUGGACCAAAAAAAUAGAGUUUGUUUUUGGUUAUUUUCCUUUUCUCUCUCUCUUUUUUUUUUUUUUUUAAAUGGUUCAUGGUACAAUGCGAACUAAAUAAAAAUGUUGCUUUUAGAAUAUUAAUGAUCUGUACUACACAGCAAAUCUUUUGCCGUUGCUCUAGUUUCAAUUUUCCUUGUGAACGCACAGAGGAAAUAAUCUUUCUUGGUUCUGAUUAGAUUUAAAUUCGCAGUGCUGUUAUGGGUCGGUGGCAAUUUGAAAUUCUUUAUUUUAUAGGAUGUUGUUGUUUCCUUUUCCGGCUUAGAUAUUGAAUAGUUAUAAGCUUAUGAAUACUUGUUGCGUUGGUAUACAAUUUUACAAAUGUAAGAAGGAACAUUUGUGUACCAAUUCUAAAUGUCUGACAUAUAUAUGCAUGGUUUGAGUCCAAUUAUACCAAUAGCAUCUUAUGGUGUUCCUUUUCCGAAUACUUGCCAACUGUCAUGACACAGGGAACAUAUUGACAAAGUUCUAUUAAUAAAAAAUUAAAAACAUAUUACUAAAAGUAAGGGAAGUCAAGUGCAAAUAAUAAAGAAUCAGAAAUAAGUAGUAAAUAACUUUCUGUACAAAGUUGGACCAACGACUAGUGCACUAGAUUACAACAGCUAUUUUUUCAGGUCUUUGCCAUUUUGCAUAUAAAGGCAACAAAAAGCGUUAACAUGGAUCUUAUUUUGACUUGAAACAGCAAAAUUUGUGGUAGGAAGAUAGUGGUUUUGUAUGGAUUUAUCAAGCUGAAGGUGAAGUAUAGGUGCAUAAACUAUGGUCUUAUCAAGCUAAGGGAGGAAUCAUGAAAUUCAAAUAUUGCAACUGUAAUCACAAGGCAAUUGUGAAGAUUUUUAUGGUGAAAAAAAUCCAAAUAAAUUAUCAUUUGGUGUAUCAAUUUAUGAGAGUGAAUAAAUAUUUGGUUUAUCAAUUGGCACCGUUUUAUAAUUGCAAGUUAUUGUUCAUUAUUAAAGAGAUUCCUAUUAACUAUUUUCAUUAAUUAGUUACUAACAAUUGAUUAGUGCCCUAAUUACUUAAUUGUCACAUGUUAGUUUCUAAUAAGAUAUAACAUUAGUUUCUUCUUCUUCUUCGGUUAAUUGAAUGUUAUUUUCUUGGUUAGUUAUGACGUAAUUUCCUAAUAUAUGUGAAAGCUACUCUCGUAGUCAAUCAACUAUACUUGUAGUUAAGUCAUACCUACUUUCGUGGUUAUGAAAUUAAUUAUAAACUCAUUUUUCUAUGAAAUUACAUGGAACAAUCCACUAAAAUCACAAAAGUACAUCUCUACUCUUGUGAGUGUACUCUCUAAAUUUAAUACUUCCUUGAACUAGUGUCAAAUCCCAAUUCUCAUUGUAAACUUAACACUUUAAGAUUAUCACAAUUAAUGGUUAGUUAAUUAUGAUUAAAUAAGCAACAAUGCUAAAUAACUUGUUCAAAAUAAUAUCAUCAAAUAACCAAUUAAACAUUACUAACAAGGUAUGGAAAGUUCAUCCAUAAUUCUAUGUAUAAAUUUCAGCAAAACAUGAAGAGAGAAAAAGAAAAGACCAUACUUGUAAUAUAACUAAACAUGAAUUCAAAUACAAAAGAGAAAGUAAUAGGAGAGAAGUUACCCUUGUCACAUGAGUUCGAAACUCUUCAUCUUGCUCCUUAAUUCUUCAUCCAAAUCUAACUACAAGUAUAAGAUAGAUAAACUACGCUAACUAUACCGUACUAAUGAACUAAGAAAAAGUAGCGAAGACUAUAUUUUGGUAGUAUCUCUAGCCUUCCAAAGUUGUGAAAAUAUGUCUUCAAACCUCCUAUUUAUAGAUGAAUUCAAGCUCCAAAUGAGUUAUUAAAAUUGAUGUAAAAUGCUCUUGAGAUUCCCAAAAUAUUCUACUACAAGUCUCUAUGCUUUUCUUUACCGUUGCAGGCAAAAUUCUUACUAGAAUUGAGUUGUAAAAAGUCAUAAAAAUUAGAGCAAGUGGCUGUGCAAGUUGUACACAUGUUUACAGAAUACGAACCCUUAUGGUCGCGUAUUGUGGGUGUGUUUUGCCUCCCCUUCAAGUUUGCACUUUUCUUAUCAAUCUUCAACUUUGCUCUGUUUUUUUUAUCAAUUUCAACUGAUAUUUUUUCAAUAAUGGAGAUCGAACUAGCUCUUAUACAAAACAUGAAAGUUGUAGCUCUUUAAGUUGACUACUUCAAGAAUCAUCUAAUUUGGAGAUUUGUAGACUAACAAAUGAUCAAAAUACCCUUGUCUAGUCAAUCUCCUAUUUCAGUUUUUGACAACAGAAAUAGCUGAUUGUAUUUCGACUUUUUGACUAGAAAAACUCAUGAACUGGAUUUCUAUGUUUUCAUAAGAAAUGUAGAAGUAUGUAUUAGCUUCAAAAUAACUUAAGAAUUAUCUCAAUGUAAUACUUUGAACUCAAGAUAUAGCCGAAAUGUCAAAAGGUGUCAAAAUUGUUAAACAUUUCUUCUUUUAUACUUUAUUUCAUUUCAUUUUUUGAACAUUUUGCACUUCAUAUUCUCUUUAAAUUACUUCAAAUCAUCAACAACCAUCCAAAUAUCUUCUCAAUUCAUUUUAUUUGAUGAUUGAAUGAUUAAAACCUACAAAAACAGGAAAUUUUCACCAUUUGAACACAUAGAAAUACAAUGUUUUACAUUUUGAACCACAAAAUGCAAAAUUGACUAGAAACCUAAUUAAUUAGUUAUAAAAAUGAAUACAACACACUUAAACACUCAAAAUGCACACAUAUCAUCAAUCAAUUCUGGUUAUUCUGAACAUGAACCAAUCUGUGAAAAUUAUUCUUGAAAUAUUUAGUCCCCCAAAUGCUUGCUUUUUUGGCUUGUAUGCCCUUGAAUAUCAUGAAAUCCCAAGUCAAGAUCCCGGUAAUUCAUAUAGGCUGCUCUUGUAGACUUGGAAACAUAGGUAGACAAGUAAGGAAUGAAUUUUGAUUUGGCCCUCCAAAAUAUACCAAAGUUUUGUUUCGUCCUUUGAAAGUAAGCAAGUUCUAAUUAAGUCCUCCAAACUAAAAAAUUCGUUACAAUUGAGGCCUUGUAUCAAUUCAAAUCUGGUUAUUAAAGUUCGACCAAACUUGAGUUGUUUGUUGAAAUCUUACAAAUUUUUUUGGGAACUUUAAAGCAAUUAAUAUCCUUUUAAAAAGAAUAAAAUUUUUCUUCGAAUCUGAUUUGAAAGAUUUAUCAUAAUGGCAGAACCUUUUCCAGAUUAGAGGAACAAUAAUUUAUCCUUUUUAGUUCAUUUAGCCGAUAGGUUAAUAGUAGUUUUGAAGUCCUUAGAAUUGGUAAGGUUUUCUUUACGACUUAAAAUUUGGUCAAACGUGAUUGACCAAAAAUGAAUUGAUGAAUGGGCUCAUUUAAAACAAAUUUUUUACCUCUGAAGACUUAAUUAGAACUAGAGGUGUCAAAAUGGGUGACUUGGGCGGGUUUGGGUUGGGUAAAAUGGGUAAUGGGUAUAAGUAAGUCAACUCAUUUAUACCCAUUUAAUUAGAUGGGUAUAAAUGGGUAAGUCAAAAAAUGAAUUGGGUAAUCCAAUUACCCAUUUAUAACUCAUUUACUUUAACUUUUUGCAAACUCAUUUAAAUUCAUUUUUGUAAACUAAGUUAUCAAUUUAUACCACUCUUUGUACCCAUCAUUAGUUUUAAAUAUUUACUUAUAAUGUUCAAAAAACAUAAUUACCAAUUUUUUUCAUUUAUACUCUAUGUCACAAAAUUACCUAAUAUUUAAUAAUUGAAUAAUACGAAUAUAAAAUUUUGAAUUAAGUACUAUAAAAAUUAAUAUAAAAACUUAAUCUAAAAAUUUUGAACCCCUAACAUUUUUUCAUAUAUAAAUUUAAAAUUUCAUUUUAUAAAGAUAAGAAAAUAGGCUAAAAUUUAUCAUAAAUUGGUAAUGCUAAAAAAUGAGCAAGUUAACAAACUAAGAAAAAAUAAAAUAAUAAGAUAAAACCAACAAUAAUAAUAAUAAUAAUAAUAAUAAUGUUAAUAUCAUGACAAAAUGAAAAAUUUGAAAAAAAAAGGUAGGGGAAAAGAAGAGACUUGGGGGGAAGAGAAUUUUAAAUGGGUUAAUUGGGUUUGAUGGGUUACCCAAUAAUACCCAUUUAAUAAAUGGGUAUUAUUGGGUAACCCAUUUAUACCCAUAUACAAAAAUUUAAGAUACCCAUACCCAUCUAUUCAUGGGCGGGUAUGAGUAAAUCUAGUUAAGUGGGUUGAUUUGCCACCUCUAAGUAGAACUUAUUCAAUUUUUCGGAUUGAAUCAACACUUUGGUUUAUUUUGGGGGACCAAAUCAGAAUUUACCUUUAUUAAAUUUUCACCAACGUCUUGAAUUGAUGUGUUCCACAGCAACAAUCCACUUUUCCAUUUGGUCCUAUGCAUGUUAUUCAUUAUCCUUGUGGAUUUCUUGAACCUACACCCUCUACCUGAUAACAUAUAAUUUGGUUAAUUUGAUGAACUCGGGAAAUGUUGAAAUGGAAAUGCAUGUCAAAGAGAUAAGACCAAUUAUUGGCCAUUUCGUACCCUAAAGUGUAGAUCUCAAAAAAUUUCACUAAAAAACUAUAGGAAAUAAUUUUAUAGAACCAAUGUAUGGGAAGGCAAUUUACAUACCUAUAAAUAUGUGUGGAAGAAUGAGGCAUAAAUUAAUAAUAUAUUAUCAAUCACACAUAAUAGCAAUACCCUCAACUUUUCACUUUUCUUAGCUGAUAAUAAAUUGGAUAAGUUGGUAAAUAAGUCUUACGACCAUAAGAAAUUUUUUUAAUAAAAUACUAAUUCAUAAACAAUAACACUACCGUAAUUUGAACCCUAAAGAAUUACUUGAAUCUUAACUUUGACUAAAACACUACUAAAUAAUAGUAUAAAAAUUUCUACUUUUGAACCUUGAUUUAAUAUGCCUGCAUAAAGGUUUCGAGAUGAAAGAGAGUAACAAUGGUCAAAGACGGGAACUAAUUUCAAGUGGCGCCUAUAGUCACCGUCUUAGCUAAGAAAAAAUAAACUGAUCAAUACAACAAAUUUUGAAUAAUUUUGGUGACUAUUUGUGCCACCUUUUCCGUUUGAUUUAAUAAAAAAUAUCUAAAUAGAAAUAAAAAAGUUAGCUAUAAUGAUCAAUCUACUUUUGUUGAUAUCUCACAAUUAUUUUAAAAGAGUAAAUCUAAUAAUAAAAGGAAAAUGGCCAUUUUGGUCAAUUGUCUUUGGAGUUUUGAUCAAUUUAGUUCCUUAUCUAUUAUCACAAUUAUUUUAGUCCAUUAUUUUUGCCAUCUAACAUAAAAUUGAAAGUUUGUAAUAGAAUUAGUAUCGUGCAUAGUAUGUGCAUCAUUAAAAAUAAUCAUUUUGCUCCAUUAUCAUUAGAGUCAUGUCCAAUUUUAUUCUUAUACAUCACCGCAUACCCAUUGUUGUGUGUGUGUGUGUGUGUGUUUUUUUUUUUGUUUUAUUAAUCUAAUCUUUUUUCUAAAUUUCAAAGGUAGGCUUAUAGUGCACGAUACCAGCUAAAUUAAGGUUUUGUAAUUUCUCAUAAAAGUCCUAUAUUGACUUUGUUUUGUGAAAAUGCCGGUUUAUAUUCGUGAAAUGACAAAAUUGGACACAACUUUAAAAAUAAUGGAGCAAAACGAUCAUUUUCAAUAGUGCACCUGCAGUGCACGUGAUUAACUUUGUUAAACAUUUUUAAUUUUUCAUUGGAGGUUCUAGAUUGUUUUUUUUCCUUUGUGUAAAGAUAAGGAACUAAAAUGGUAGCAAUGAUAGAUAGGGACUAAAUUGGCAGAGACUCCAAAGUCCAUCAAAAUGGCUAUUUCCCCAUAAUAAAAUAGCAAUGAGUUAAAGAAAAUGCAUCAUGUAUUUUGACAAAAAGAGAGAAGCAUCAUGGAUAUCCUAGAGACCAUCGCAAAGAACUCUACCUCAAAAAUUAUUAUUUCACUUUAAAAGGUCGCCGGAAAAAAAAAGAAAAAAAUUGCUAAUUUCGUAUAUGUCACAUAAUCACAAUUUUUUAUCCAAACCAGAUAAAAAGGCUACCACACUUGCUUAUAAUUACCAAAUAACUGGCCUACCUUGUCACUAUUCAUUCAUUCAUUGAACCUUGUAUAUUUUUAUGAUAAGAUGAGAUAAAAUAUAACAACGUAUUUGACAUGUUUCCCAGUAACGUAAUCUAUUGGGAAAUGGUAUUUUGCGGCCGCAAGCAAAGGAAAAAUAUGUAUUCGAGGAAAGGAUCUGAGAUGGACUUUUCUUUCUUUAAUAUUUUUCCCCUUGUCGGUCAUCUAAUCUUCUAGGCAUGCCCACUUCUAAGAAAUUACAUCAGGAGUUCUCUUCCUGCGAAAUUCUUGACUUGGGGAGUUCAUUACCAGUGCUUAAGCUUUAAUUUCAAUCAAACUAAAAGUACAUGAAGUUACGAGGAAUUGACUGCUAUGCUAUGCUAUUCAACAUUGAAUUUAUAAACAUAAUCUAAUUGUUUUAAUUGUUUAGAUUGUUUAAAAAACAUUUGGGUUUGUAAUUUAUCAGUUAUCUGAAUAUAUUUUAAAUACUAGAAUAAUUAGUGAUUUACAAGUCUAAAUAUCUCCUAAAAAAUCUAAACAAUUGGAAGAAUUUGAAAUGAUUUCAAAUUUUUCGUCAAAUCUCUCGAUCCAAUCGCGGUGAUAACAUAUUAAUACAAAGAAAUCAUUCACUGUAUUAGGAUAGCACGCAACAUAGCAAUACUUUUCUAAAACGUGUUAUAGAAAAUUCUAUAAAUAGCACUCUAGCCCAAUUCAGUUUUAUCAAAGAAUUCAAUACAAAGAAAAAUGGUGACUUCCCGCAGUUCAUUGUUUUCUCUUCUCUGGUUUCUCAUACUUGCAUUAGCUAUCCUACAGGCUGAUACAUCAGGAAUUCAUGAUGAUUAUCUUAAAUGCCUACAAUCUCAAAACUCAAACUCCAUAUCUACCAUUGCUUACACCCCAAGAAACACAUCAUAUUCAUCCAUAUUGCAAUCCACAGAGCAAAACUUACGUCCCGCAUCAACCUUUCUAUUCAAGCCAACUCUCAUCCUUACACCACUUCAUUCAUCUGAGAUCCAGGCGGCAAUACGCUGUGCCAAGAAACAUGAAAUUCAAAUCAGAGUCCGGAGUGGUGGACAUGAUUAUGAGGGUCUUUCCUAUGCUUCAACAAGCCCUUUUGUCAUUGUUGAUCUUAGAAACAUUAGCUCGAUAUCAGUUGACAGGGAAAAUCGUACGGCAUGGGUUGAAGCAGGGGCAACUCUUGGCCAACUUUAUUACAAAAUCGGUGAGACAAGUAGGGAACUCGCAUUCGUUGCUGGUGCUUGUCCCACAGUAGGCGUUGUCCCACAGUAGGCGUUGGAGGACACUUCAGUGGAGGAGGCUAUAGCAUGUUGUCACGUAAAUUUGGAUUGUCAGUUGAUCAUAUUAUUGAUGCCAAAAUUAUUGACGUGAACGGCCAAAUUUUGUAUAGAAGGUCUAUGGGUGAGGAUCUAUUUUGGGCAAUCAGAGGAGGUGGUGGAGCAAGUUUUGGGAUCAUCAUUGCAUGGAAAGUAAGUCUUGUUUCUGUUCCUGAAAAGGUAACAGUUUUUAAUCUAACCAAGACAUCGGAUCAAAAUGCCACUCAGCUAGUAUUUCAGUGGCAGCACAUUGCAGACAAGAUUGAUGAAAAUUUACUAAUUAGGCUCUUCAUACCGAGUUCCACUUCUCCCCAAACUGGAAAGAAAUCCAUAGUAGUUUCAUUUACCUCUUUGUUCGUCGGUGGAAUUGAUCAGCUCCUUCCCUUGAUGCAAAAAAGCUUCCCAGAGCUGGGAUUGGCAAAAGAAGAUUGCAUUGAAAUGAGCUGGGUCGAGUCCACAGUCUACUUUGCCAACAUUCCAGGAGC